Pygocentrus nattereri (red-bellied piranha) is the source of this 183-nucleotide long non-coding RNA. RefSeq lists it as uncharacterized. Lineage: Eukaryota; Metazoa; Chordata; Actinopteri; Characiformes; Serrasalmidae. The record is from RefSeq and is a predicted model, not a curated record. The transcript has 3 exons.
CCAAACUUUUGCAUAGGAUGGUAUGCAGGUGUCAUCGGUGUCACCGAUUCUCACUAGUGUUCCACAUAAGAAAGUUGCCUAAGAAUAAAGGUCACACCGGUGACUUCGGCUAAAAGCUUCAUAUGAAAUCAUGAGCUAAACGAGAUGUCUGAUAAUGGAAAAGACACAGUGGACACACCAUGU